UACGGAGGGGGCUAGCGUUGUUCGGAAUUACUGGGCGUAAAGCGCACGUAGGCGGCUUUGUAAGUUAGAGGUGAAAGCCCGGGGCUCAACUCCGGAAUUGCCUUUAAGACUGCAUCGCUAGAAUUGUGGAGAGGUAAGUGGAAUUCCGAGUGUAGAGGUGAAAUUCGUAGAUAUUCGGAAGAACACCAGUUGCGAAGGCGACUUACUGGACACAUAUUGACGCUGAGGUGCGAAAGCGUGGGGAGCAAACAGG
RNAcentral lists this ribosomal RNA (253 nucleotides) under uncultured bacterium. RNAcentral describes it as "partial 16S ribosomal RNA". It matches the Rfam family "Bacterial small subunit ribosomal RNA", at positions 524 to 776 of the family's 1533-position model. The record is from RNAcentral.